UGCACCCCCUCUUUUAGGAGCUGCUUUCAUCUCUGCUCCCGUUCCUGGGGGUUUCCCCAGCCCCUUCCAGGCUGACGGGUCGCCUUUCGGUGGGUUCAACGUUGCCAAAGCUUCCACCAACCCCUUCGUGACCCUCCCGACCCCGGCGGCGCCGCUCGGCCUCAGGCACCGGACCACCAACCCCUUCCUAUGACGGCCGCUGCUCCGCCUCUCCCGCCGGGACCAGGUUUUGGUCUCAGCCGCUGACCCGAGUGUCACAAAGGGACAGGGAUGUACCAAGUGUAAUUUUGGGGGGGAUUUCCAUACUUGGAGAAAAAAAAAAUCAUUAUUUUAUUUAAUUAGAGUGACAACCGCAUAAUAGUUAAAUAUAAUAAUUUUAAUAAUAAUUAGUU
This 392-nucleotide long non-coding RNA is filed under the name Chloebia gouldiae (Gouldian finch). RNAcentral's name for it is "Erythrura gouldiae (Gouldian finch) lncRNA (ENSEGOG00005018276.1)". The record is from RNAcentral. Lineage: Eukaryota; Metazoa; Chordata; Aves; Passeriformes; Passeridae.